RNAcentral lists this ribosomal RNA (118 nucleotides) under Labrus bergylta (ballan wrasse). Lineage: Eukaryota; Metazoa; Chordata; Actinopteri; Labriformes; Labridae. The record is from RNAcentral.
GCUUACGGCCAUACCACCCUGAACACCCCGAUCUCGUCCGAUCUCGGAAGCUAAGCAGGGUCGGGCCUGGUUAGUACUUGGAUGGGAGACCGCCUGGGAAUACCAGGUGCUGUAAGCU